This 2852-nucleotide long non-coding RNA is filed under the name Phoenix dactylifera (date palm). RNAcentral's name for it is "long non-coding RNA (PDAC_LNC000848)". The record is from RNAcentral. Lineage: Eukaryota; Viridiplantae; Streptophyta; Magnoliopsida; Arecales; Arecaceae.
AGCUUGUUAGGCCCGUCCUCCUCCACCCGGUACCCGUCAUUGAAGAGCCCCAGCAGCAGCCUGGCCUGGAAGUGGUUGAAACAACUGAUACCAACUCUUCCGAAUCCCCUCCCAGUCAUUGAAAUGCCAUGCUGCAGGGACCAAGGUAGUCUAUCAGUGAGGAUAUGAAUGUCUUAUGACUGCUCUGGUUUUGUUUUAGCUUAUUGUUGGUUGAAGCCUCGGCAGCAGAGGCUGAGGCAAUUAGUUUUUUUUAAAAAACAGGUGGCUAACGCCGACGCUUAUAAGCGUCGGCUUUGAGUCUUUUAGCGACGCUUUUAAACGUCGCUAAAACGCGUCGUUCAAAACUGAGCUUUUAGCGACGCUUAUAAGCGUCGGCUUUGAGUCUUUUAGCGACGCUUUGAUUAGCGUCGGGAAAGUCUUGUUUUUGCCGACGCUUUCUCUUAGCGUCGGCAAAAAUCGGACCCACGCCCACCUGCCCGACGUCUGAUCCACGCUUUGGGGAGCGUUGGCUGGAAUUUUGCCGACGCUUAAAAGCGUCGGUAGAGACCAAUAAAAGCGCCGGUAAAAGUCACUAUUCCUGUAGUGCAGCAGGAUGCAUAUAAAUGUUUGUAGAAAUAAAUGUAUAUAUGUGUGCAAAAUUGCUAUAGGUGCAUGCAAACAACAUGUGAGGGCCCAGUCGAUUGACCGGCUUGCACUUGCCUUAGGCCUGAGAGCCGACCCUAAGAGGUCAGGCCCAAGGCCAGUGUGCCCUGUGGCGAUGCAGGAAGUCCUCCUCCGCUUCCGGCAGAAAUCGGGCACUCUCAAAACAACCCGAGUUCUUCUAGAACUCGAAGGCUUCGCAUAUUUAACUUUCCUCCUCCUUAGAUUUCCUUCAUCGGAAUCAUCAAGAAUAUCCGCCGAUUCCAAGCCCUCUUUCCAAGCUUGUUUCCUCAAUUCCUCACUAAAAAGGGUUGUCGGAGGCUUCGCCGAACCAAAGUAAAUGUUCCUCGUCUUGCUCCUCUUCCUUUCCUAGUGAUUUAGCAAACUUUGCUUGAGUUUUAGCCGGCAAAUAACCGAAAUUGGAUCCAAAACAGGAUGCCCUAUUUCGGCUCCCUUCUUUCGAUCAUGUCGCCGCUGCUGGCCGCCCUCCGCCUCAUGUCUCCAUCUCCGGCCGCCACCUCACUGGACCACCAAGUCCACAACCACCAGCCACCUCCUUCUUCCUCUGUUUUAGCAAGAAAGAAAAAAAGAAAGAAAGAAGAGGAGGAGAGAGAGAACCAUCCCUCUCUUUCUCUCUCUUGUUUCCUCUCUCUUCUCUCUACUCUUCUCUCUCUAAUUUCUCUCUCCUCUCUCCACUUUCGCUCUCUAGAAUGUUCAAGAAAUCUGAAGUCGGAUUAUGUCGAUCUGAUCUAUGAACCCGAGUUGAUCCCUGAAAAGAGACCUAAAACUGUCAAGUUGCUCGGGCUGCUUACUAGACCGAUCACCACAGCUCCAUUGAAUGUUCUUGAAACCUUUAUUGAUAAACUAUGUUGAUUAAUCUUGGCCCUGAUUGAGUCCAAUUUAUUGAGCUAAUCGUAUAGACCUGACCCACAUGAAACCACCGUACGUCUGGUAAAGACUACUUGUAUUAUUGUAUUAAAGUCAUCAAUUAAAAAUUAAUUUUAUUGUUAAUAUUUUGAAUAGGUUUUGCAGAGUCGCCUAGCGAAAUUUGACCACCUAAGAUGAAAGAGGUAUGUAAACCUUAUACUCCUUACUAGUUUUUAAACUUGUAAGUAGAUCUUACACUUCUUAUUAUUUUUAAAUUUUUACUUAUUUUUUGGUAUUAUAAAAAUAUAAAAAUAGUGUUAAAUAUUGAUGAUAUCAUAUUUUCUUAAAAUCAAGGAUCAAGCAUACAAUAUUAUGAAACUCCUAAUUUAUUGCGAAAUAAUAGUUCCAUGAUUGUUUUACCGUUAAACACUAUCGAUGAACUCUGAACUUCAUAUUUAUGAAAUUUGUAUUUAUGUUAUGCAAAGAAUAAUUUCAUGAUUAUUCUACUGUUAAAUGCUUAUUUAUGGGCUAUGAACUCUAUAAAGUCAUUUAGUGUUUUAUUGACGUAUGAUUCAAGAAAAUAUGAUUCAAGAAAUAUGACUUAAGAAAAAUUAUUUUAAGAACCAUGGCAAAAAAGCUCUUAGAUAGCUAUGUAUGACUCCUAAAAGUAGGAUCGAUCAACAUCCAAUUCCAUACAACCCUGCCAAGUGGGUAAGAGUAGUUUGUAGACAAACCUACCAGUGGAUAAAAGUAGUUGGCAUAUGACCUUGUAAGUGGGUAAUAGUAGUUGGCAGACAAACCUACCAGCGGGUAAAAGUAGUUGGCAUACGACCCUACCAAUAGGUAAUAGUAGUUGGUGUUUGUCGAUUAUGACCCCAUCAUAGGUAUAAUAGUGACCUUAGCAUUUAGUCUGAGAGUAGUAAUUUGAUCAAUGAUAUUAUUAAAUAUUAAAUAAUUUAUAGUUUUAUUUAUGUUGUACACCAGAAAUCGUAUUUAUGAAAUAUGAAUGAUUUAAGCAUGCAUGAUUGGCUUUAUGAUUUGUUUUAAUAUAUUGUAUUAUGAAAUGCUUUAUUUUGUAAUAUCUGUUAUUUUUUUUAAAUAAUGCCUUAAUAUGCAAAAACUUAUACUUCCUUUGGUAAAAUAGUGAAAGGUUUAUUUACUAACAUACGUCGCUCAUAUACCUCUAUUUUUUUCUCUCUCCAGACGAAUAGGGUCGAUAAGAAUGAAAGAUAGUCCAAGCUUGGAGUUCGCGCUAGCAAGCUUGGCGAUCUACAUAGCAGAGCAGAACUUUAGUUCUUUAGUUGAUUAUGAAAUUAUAGUUAGUGAUUUUCUGAAUAGUAAAAAAU